GAUGGCAUAGCUCAGUGGAUAGAGCACACCUCUCAUAAAGGUACGGUCGUGGGUUCGAGUCCCAUUGCCCCUG
RNAcentral lists this transfer RNA (73 nucleotides) under Hominiventricola filiformis. RNAcentral describes it as "tRNA-Ile". It matches the Rfam family "tRNA". From Rfam's summary of the family: Transfer RNA (tRNA) molecules are approximately 80 nucleotides in length. Their secondary structure includes four short double-helical elements and three loops (D, anti-codon, and T loops). Further hydrogen bonds mediate the characteristic L-shaped molecular structure. tRNAs have two regions of fundamental functional importance: the anti-codon, which is responsible for specific mRNA codon recognition, and the 3' end, to which the tRNAs corresponding amino acid is attached (by aminoacyl-tRNA synthetases). tRNAs cope with the degeneracy of the genetic code in two manners: having more than one tRNA (with a specific anti-codon) for a particular amino acid; and 'wobble' base-pairing, i.e. permitting non-standard base-pairing at the 3rd anti-codon position. The record is from RNAcentral. Lineage: Bacteria; Bacillati; Bacillota; Clostridia; Lachnospirales; Lachnospiraceae.